UACGGAGGGGGCUAGCGUCGUUCGGAAUUACUGGGCGUAAAGGGUGCGUAGGCGGUUUAAUUAGUCAGAUGUGAAAGCCCUGGGCUCAACCCAGGAACUGCGUUUGAUACUGUUAAGCUAGAAUUCGGGGGAGGUGAGUGGAAUUCCCAGUGUAGAGGUGAAAUUCGUAGAUAUUGAGAAGAACACCGGUGGCGAAGGCGGCUCACUGGACCGACAUUGACGCUGAGGCACGAAAGCGUGGGGAGCAAACAGG
This 253-nucleotide ribosomal RNA is filed under the name uncultured bacterium. RNAcentral's name for it is "partial 16S ribosomal RNA". It matches the Rfam family "Bacterial small subunit ribosomal RNA", at positions 524 to 776 of the family's 1533-position model. The record is from RNAcentral.